Molecule: non-coding RNA, 93 nt
Organism: Capsicum annuum
Lineage: Eukaryota; Viridiplantae; Streptophyta; Magnoliopsida; Solanales; Solanaceae
Source: Rfam
GGAGAGAUGGCUGAGUGGUUGAUAGUCCCGGUCUUGAAAACCAGUAUAGUUUGGAACAAAGAACUAUCGAGGGUUCGAAUCCAUCUCUCUCCU